RNAcentral lists this ribosomal RNA (254 nucleotides) under uncultured bacterium. RNAcentral's name for it is "partial 16S ribosomal RNA". It matches the Rfam family "Bacterial small subunit ribosomal RNA", at positions 524 to 776 of the family's 1533-position model. The record is from RNAcentral.
GACAGAGGGUGCAAACGUUGUCCGGAUUUAUUGGGCGUAAAGAGCUCGUAGGCGGUUCCGUAAGUCAGAUGUGAAAACUCAGGGCUCAACCCGGAGACGCCAUCUGAUACUGCGGUGACUGGAGUCUGGUAGGGGAACACGGAAUUCCUGGUGUAGCGGUGAAAUGCGCAGAUAUCAGGAGGAACACCGAUGGCGAAGGCAGUGUUCUGGGCCAGUACUGACGCUGAGGAGCGAAAGCGUGGGGAGCAAACAGG